Triticum dicoccoides is the source of this 600-nucleotide long non-coding RNA. RefSeq lists it as uncharacterized. The transcript has 2 exons. The record is from RefSeq and is a predicted model, not a curated record. NCBI's taxonomy places the organism in Eukaryota, Viridiplantae, Streptophyta, Magnoliopsida, Poales, Poaceae.
CCGAAGCCGCGGCUCCCGUCCGUGCCGGCGGCGGGCGGGGCGGGGCGGCGACACGGCGCGACGGCGACGCGCAGGGCCGCCCCCCCGGCCGGGUGGCAGAACCUCUACGCCCCGAAUGAGUUAAUCACCCAGUUCUCUUAAGCUCCUGAGCAAGGCAGGUGACUGAUUGGUUGCCUUGAUGCUUGAAUAACUGAGCAGUAUUCGAGGGAUCGGGCCUCCAUUGCUUUUUGACCUACACUACAAGAGAAUGUGCUGAGAAAGCCAGGGAGGAGCUUGCUGACAGUGUUAGUCAUCAAAUGUUUGGUUGCAACCAUAGGGUGAUGUGGGGUUGACGUCCAGGGUCUCGACCACAAUACAGCAGGGCUGUGAGCAGAGUGAAUAGUGAAGGAUCCUGCUCACACAUUUGCUGUAUUCAUCCCCACCUCGUGUGCCCCUGUUUUCUGGGUUAACCACCCCCUUUUCUUGUAACACUGUCAAUCCUGUAUAGAUACACUCCUUUACCUUCUGGUCUACGUGUAGAUUUGUUGUCUCACUAGAGGUUCAUAAUCCAAAGAAUUUUUGUUCUUUCUGCUGUGAUAGUAUAUUGUUGUGUUUCUUUAA